CAUUUCCCGAAGGUUGGACAGGAAUUUACAAACGGCGCAUAAUGAACGUGCACUCUGCCUAGCCGAACAUCAAUUGACGCUCGAUGACAGUAAUGGUGGCCAUUCUUCCCCAACCGGAUGUUGAUCGGUUCGAUGUGGUCCGAUCAAUGCGCGCGCAUGGCCGGAUGACCUUAAGGGACAGGGGAACCGGUAAAAGAUCAAGCACAUUCCUUACGGCAGAAGGCAGCCAACCCGCAGCCUCAACAUCAUCGGUCAUAUUUACAUAUUUACACAUUCAUUUCGCUUGUCACCAUGGCGACGGAUGUGCUUACAUGAUUGAGCCGUUUUAUGUUGCUCCACCAUUAGAAGCGUCCAGCGCCAGGCGGAACGUGAACUUUGGAAUGUGUUUAGAGGUCCAUUGAGCUUUACUUUGAGUGGAAUCUUUUCGCCAACUCGAUGCCACACUAUCAACAUCUCCACCCUGCGAUUCCGCAACGAUGCGUAGCAGCUAACCACGUUUGAUGGAUUACAAAGCGAGCCGGUAGAGGCGUGACACGCCGAAAUUUCACAAUGAUUGCAACGAUUUUUAAAUGGCUUCAUGAAAUUUUCACCACACACCGUAACCGCAAAUAUUUAACGCCGUUUCGAAAGGCUCAGAAAACGGUCAGAUUACUCCUCAUAAAUGGAAGCGAUUCGUGUUUUUCUCUACAGUGAAGGAGAUGUGUAAAAUAAAGGCAGCAGGCAGCACUUUUUGCAUCUGAUUUGUUGAUCAAUCCACCCCCUAAAACAUGUCAGUUGCGUUGCGGGAACUGUUUUGCAA
Molecule: long non-coding RNA, 799 nt
Organism: Anopheles merus
Lineage: Eukaryota; Metazoa; Arthropoda; Insecta; Diptera; Culicidae
Exons: 3
Source: RefSeq, a predicted model, not a curated record